RNAcentral lists this ribosomal RNA (265 nucleotides) under uncultured bacterium. Its description in RNAcentral is "partial 16S ribosomal RNA". It matches the Rfam family "Bacterial small subunit ribosomal RNA", at positions 793 to 1055 of the family's 1533-position model. The record is from RNAcentral.
GUCCAUGCCGUAAACGAUGAAUGCUAGGUGUGGGGGACUGACCCCCUCCGUGCCGGAGUAAACACAAUAAGCAUUCCACCUGGGGAGUACGACCGCAAGGUUGAAACUCAAAGGAAUUGACGGGGGCCCGCACAAGCAGUGGAGUAUGUGGUUUAAUUCGAAGCAACGCGAAGAACCUUACCAGGUCUUGACAUCCAACUAACGAACUAGAGAUAGAUUAGGUGCCUUUCGGGGAAAGUUGAGACAGGUGGUGCAUGGUUGUCGU